GAGAAGCAAGUGCUCUGUCCCCUGAGUUGUCGCCCCAGAUGGCAUCUUUCCAUCAAUCCAAAGCGUAAGAAGUUAUUAGAGCUCAUGAUGCUGUGACUUAAAGGUGCCGUGUCUCCACAUCUGGAUUUUAUUAUGACGGGACCUUGGAAAAUGAAGGUGUGGAUGUG
Non-coding RNA from Peromyscus maniculatus bairdii (prairie deer mouse), 167 nucleotides. NCBI's taxonomy places the organism in Eukaryota, Metazoa, Chordata, Mammalia, Rodentia, Cricetidae. The record is from RefSeq and is a predicted model, not a curated record.